RNAcentral lists this ribosomal RNA (369 nucleotides) under uncultured organism. RNAcentral's name for it is "partial 16S ribosomal RNA". It matches the Rfam family "Bacterial small subunit ribosomal RNA", at positions 527 to 896 of the family's 1533-position model. The record is from RNAcentral.
GUAGGGUGCAAGCGUUAAUCGGAAUUACUGGGCGUAAAGCGUGCGCAGGCGGUUUUGUAAGUCUGACGUGAAAUCCCCGGGCUCAACCUGGGAAUUGCGUUGGAGACUGCAAGGCUGGAGUCUGGCAGAGGGGGUAGGAUUCCACGUGUAGCAGUGAAAUGCGUAGAGAUGUGGAGGAACACCGAUGGCGAAGGCAGCCCCCUGGGUCAAGACUGACGCUCAUGCACGAAAGCGUGGGGGGAGCAAACAGGAUUAGAUACCCUGGUAGUCCACGCCCUAAACGAUGUCUACUAGUUGUCGGGUCUUAAUUGACUUGGUAACGCAGCUAACGCGUGAAGUAGACCGCCUGGGAGUACGGUCGCAAGAUUA